GUCAUCGGGAUUAUAAAAGCGCGCGCGCCGCACGUUACAGCCUCUUUCCCUGCGGUCAGCGUGCUUUAACUUCGUGCGUAUCUAGUUUCCGUGUCGAGGUGACUGUUGGGCCCUCGUUUGUGAGCAGCCAAGAUGCGGGCGGCACAAGACCGUUGCGGUGCAGGCCGCCGGCCGUCAGCAGCACAGAAGCCUGGCGAGGGCUAGCACGCGGGCCACAGCCAUGAGAAGCCGACCCCGUCCGUGUUGAGCGGAAACACCCGAGGACCUCCGCCGUCACGGAUGGUAACACCGGAACUCAUUGCUGUUUGGUGAUGGAAGGCACGUUCAGGUAUUGUUAAAGCAAAGUAGUAGUGGCUAAGAUCUUCCGGGCACUUUACAGGGGUCUUCGCAUUUAAAUCUUGGUAAUGGGCAUUGUGAAUGUUAAUAAAGCACUGUUUUCAGUGGCUGGCCGUUAUUUCAUAUGAAGUUUUUAAUAAGCCAAAUAAAGUUGAUGGUUAAUAA
This is a long non-coding RNA of Microtus ochrogaster (prairie vole), 501 nucleotides long. RefSeq lists it as uncharacterized. The record is from RefSeq and is a predicted model, not a curated record. Lineage: Eukaryota; Metazoa; Chordata; Mammalia; Rodentia; Cricetidae.